RNAcentral lists this ribosomal RNA (910 nucleotides) under Kineococcus radiotolerans. RNAcentral's name for it is "bacterial SSU rRNA". It matches the Rfam family "Bacterial small subunit ribosomal RNA", at positions 517 to 1425 of the family's 1533-position model. Lineage: Bacteria; Bacillati; Actinomycetota; Actinomycetes; Kineosporiales; Kineosporiaceae. The record is from RNAcentral.
GCGGUAAUACGUAGGGUGCAAGCGUUGUCCGGAAUUAUUGGGCGUAAAGAGCUCGUAGGCGGUGUGUCGCGUCUGCUGUGAAAACUCAGGGCUCAACUCUGAGCUUGCAGUGGGUACGGGCACACUUGAGUGCGGUAGGGGAGACUGGAAUUCCUGGUGUAGCGGUGAAAUGCGCAGAUAUCAGGAGGAACACCGGUGGCGAAGGCGGGUCUCUGGGCCGUAACUGACGCUGAGGAGCGAAAGCAUGGGGAGCGAACAGGAUUAGAUACCCUGGUAGUCCAUGCCGUAAACGUUGGGCGCUAGGUGUGGGGUCCAUUCCACGGAUUCCGUGCCGCAGCUAACGCAUUAAGCGCCCCGCCUGGGGAGUACGGCCGCAAGGCUAAAACUCAAAGGAAUUGACGGGGGCCCGCACAAGCGGCGGAGCAUGCGGAUUAAUUCGAUGCAACGCGAAGAACCUUACCAAGGCUUGACAUGCACGGUGGACCGUCAGAGAUGGCGGGUCAUUUAGUUGGUCGUGCACAGGUGGUGCAUGGUUGUCGUCAGCUCGUGUCGUGAGAUGUUGGGUUAAGUCCCGCAACGAGCGCAACCCUCGUUCCAUGUUGCCAGCAAUUCGGUUGGGGACUCAUGGGAGACUGCCGGGGUCAACUCGGAGGAAGGUGGGGAUGACGUCAAAUCAUCAUGCCCCUUAUGUCUUGGGCUUCACGCAUGCUACAAUGGCCAGUACAGAGGGCUGCGAUACCGUGAGGUGGAGCGAAUCCCAAAAAGCUGGUCUCAGUUCGGAUCGGGGUCUGCAACUCGACCCCGUGAAGUCGGAGUCGCUAGUAAUCGCAGAUCAGCAACGCUGCGGUGAAUACGUUCCCGGGCCUUGUACACACCGCCCGUCACGUCAUGAAAGUCGGUAACACCCGAA